CGCCUUGUUGGCCGAGGGCCGCGCGGCAGGUCUUGCGGGCUUGCGGCUGGGGAUUGAACGGCGCGGGAUCAAGCUCGCCGGGGCAC
This 86-nucleotide transfer RNA is filed under the name Cypionkella aquatica. RNAcentral's name for it is "tRNA-Ala". The record is from RNAcentral. Lineage: Bacteria; Pseudomonadati; Pseudomonadota; Alphaproteobacteria; Rhodobacterales; Paracoccaceae.